UCUCAGAUUGGCCGCCCCUCUUUCCCUAAACUCUCUCUUUUCUCUCAUCCUUUCAAUCUCUAUCAGUCCUAAAUUCUUGCACAAAUAUGUGCAAUGUCACAAAAUUAAACUUCACAAUACUCAAUCUAUCCCUAUACUUACGAAUCCUACCAUUUUAUUUCUUCUUUCAUCACUGAGAUUCAAAAUCCCCAAACCUGAAACCCUAGACUCAAAAAUGAAACUUCAAAUCUUCUGAUUUCUCUUGUGGUCUUUUAAAUCAGAUCAUGCAUGAAGGUUUUAUACGGAUUCAUCAUUGUUAUUCGAUGUCCAGAGAGACCUCUAGAUGUUGGAGUUUGACUUGUUGUUUAUCACUCAUCAACGGUCAAUUUUUCAUUCUCAUAUUCCUAGGUAAAACUGCUUCAUUAUUUUCCCUCUGUGCUCUUCUGAUUUCACUCCUUCCCUAUCGUCAUCUACCCGUUCGUCAUCAUCCACUACUUGUUUGAACUAAUCUAAAAACCUAAGACUUGAAUGCCACAAUACAAAGGGUCAUUUAAUUCCUUCACCUAACACACUUAUAUACCAUCUGAAAUACAAAAAAGAAAGAAAUAAAUAGUAAGUUCCAAGGUUUCCUCACUCUUUACUGUUUUCUUUUCCGGUCCUGAGUUCGAUUGUUGUACUGGUUUUGAGUAUAUCCUUAAACGGCUAUUAAAUCACUCUCGUUUGGUUUGCUUCCCGGUAGAAGAACUCAGGCCCAAGUCCAACUUAGGAUACUCUUUUCGAAGUCUGUCGCUGCUUCAAGUCUGCUGGGCCUGCAUUUCCCUUGGUCCAAUUUCGAGUCAAGUUCCCUUUCCUUUCUCGCUCUUAGAUAAAUGAAGAAUGUUGUUUAUUCUCUAUAUAUAUAUGUGAUACUAACGUUGUUACUGAAAUAUUUCUGUUAUGUUUUUUAUUAUUUUAGGAAAUAGGCAAACCAAAGCCAUUGGUACAUAAAGAAAGAAUCUGAGCUUAUCUGUCAUAUUCA
Molecule: long non-coding RNA, 997 nt
Organism: Nicotiana tabacum (common tobacco)
Lineage: Eukaryota; Viridiplantae; Streptophyta; Magnoliopsida; Solanales; Solanaceae
Source: RefSeq, a predicted model, not a curated record